CUCAGGAGGUCAUAUGGGUAGAACAGUACAGCACAGCUACAUUUCUUCAAUAUAUUGUCUUCAACAAAAGUCUGAGUAAAGGGUCACAACAUGUUCUGCAUCCUCAGACACACAGUUUACAUUACUCAUAUGGCCAGAGACCACCAAAGUAGUGACGUUCACUUCCUGUAUGGAAACCAUUUCGUGUGUGUGUGGGAGGUCUAGCCAGGUUUAGUCUUGAAACUUCACAUUCAUGUCUGACGCAGAAAUGAGUAAAUUGAGAUUAAAAUAUUCUUAUAUAUAAUUUACUCCUUUUUGUUGUCUUAGUAACAUUAAAGCUGUAGUUUAGAGUUGAAGAUUUCAGAAAGAGACAAAACCACAGAUGCAGAUACUCACUACUGGUAAGUGUGGUUACUAUAUUUAUCAGAAUGUAUGUGGUCUUUGAAAGGAUCCGAUUCUUUUAUGAUUCGUAUGCACUCGCAUUAGUUUGAUUCUGAUCUUGUGACAUCGUUUGUGUUAUUGCUUUUAUUUUGUCAGUCUGUGACUCAUUGUUAUUGCUGAAUAUUUUGGCUGAGAAACUCUUGAAAAGGGGAUUUCCUGGUAAACAAAGUGUGAAUAACAACUAAACUAUUCUGGUAAAAUACCAAUUACCUAAACCAUAUUUACAUUUAAACUUUCUGAGUUGACUAAAUACCCACAUAAACAUGUUGUUUACAAUGAAACUGUCUUUGUUUCAAGGUGGGAUGGAGGAUUUUUGUAAAUAUUUGGGCAUCAACAGGACCUUUUCUCUGAUAUGUUGCAUGUUCUGGAUUUUCUCACCAGCAGAAGGAAACACCAUCUCACAGGUGGUUGGCACCAAAGUGACCCUACCCUGCAAGUCAAACAGCUUGUUGGUUCAGCUGACAUGGAAAAUGGACAAGAAUACCCUGUUUACUUACAAGCCAAAGACACCUUUACACAACUAUUCAAUAGCUCUCAACCUGAGCAUAAGUAUGUCUAUGUCAGAGAGCCAAAUGUUCGCUCUGGUCAUAGAGAGAGUCCAGAAGUCUCAUACAGCAAACUACACCUGUGAAAUCACCACGUCCAAUGGAGUUGAAAAUCAGAGGUGGGAGCUGAUAAUAACAGAACGUGAAGAAGCUGGAAAUAUGGACAAGCUAGUGAUUGCUGUGGCAACUGUUGUUCCUUGUGUGUGUUGCCUGACCUUUGCAUUAGCUUUCAUCAUUCUGCAAAGAGUCUGCAAAAAACGUGCUGAGGAUCAGGAGGAAGAAGAAGAUAUUUAUGAAAACUGCCUAGAAGGUCGACGACGUGGCUAUAAUCAGCCUCACCAUAACAAACCCAGGGCUCACUGACAUGACGCGCAGUCCAAAGAGAGAGAAGAAAAGGGAAAGGGAGUACUGGAAGUGGGCACAUGUGUGAAACAGCUAAUUUUAUAGAAACAACCAUCUUUUCUAAAAAAUAAACUUUAUAUAAAAAUUGUAAAACCUGUUUUUUUCCAUGCAAUUUUAAACUGAUUUCUCUAUAAAUAUACUGUAGAUAGCCUAUUUAUAGCCUAUUUACAUAUAUCCUUUAAAAAAGAUACUGCAUGGGUCCAUGAAACAGAGCAGCUGUAUGCCAUACAGGAAUAAAACAACUGCUCUAUGUUCAAUAAAGUUGAUGGUUAUACUGUCACAUAUGCUCAAGAUUAUGGCCAAAAAAAUAACCAUAUCCCACUGUGAAAAGGCUGCCUUUCUCCCUUUUCACUAGGCCCUGUUCCCAAAAUUAAUACUGUUUUGCGUCUGCUUAAUUCUUAAUUUCACUGUAAUGUUGUAGGUUAUUGUUUUAGUUUGUUACUUUAUUAUUUGACAUAGGCCUGUUCGGCAGGUUUUAUGGGUUCAUAGUGUUUUGCUAUGGUUCUGCCUGUGAUGUGGGGGGGUAGAUCAGCUGCUCACUAGCUUAAUCAGGGAGAGUGGAUGGGGGUUUAGGUUUAGGUCCUUUUUGUAGGGAGGGGCUAAAGUAAAGAACAAUUGGUAAGAUAGUUCUGCAGUAAAUGACAUGUUUAUAAUAUUUGGGGUGCCUAUUGUAGUGGGUGCACAUAUAUGUAUAAAUAGUAAUGUCAGCAGUAACUGAUCUAUCCAAUUGUAAUGAUGUUUUGAGAGACUUAAGUGUUAAUGUUGCUUGCUCAGGUUAGCUCACCCUAUCACCUGUGCAGGUGGUAGGGGGGGCUGAGUUAAAAGGGCAUCAGGAGAAGAAAGAAGGGUUGGCAGUUUGCUGGGAGGUUGCCGUUUUGUUUGUUUGCUAUUAUUUUGCCUCAGUUUAAUAUUGUUUCUGUAUUUUGGUUUGAGUAUGUUUUGGUGUUGGUUUAGUUAAUAAAUACAGGAAUUGAGCACUGGAAAAGCCUCCUCUUCAGUCUUCAAUCGUGACACCC
This 2383-nucleotide long non-coding RNA is filed under the name Sander lucioperca (pikeperch). Its description in RNAcentral is "lncRNA (ENSSLUG00000021666.1)". The record is from RNAcentral. Lineage: Eukaryota; Metazoa; Chordata; Actinopteri; Perciformes; Percidae.